Molecule: ribosomal RNA, 472 nt
Filed under: uncultured bacterium
Lineage: Bacteria
Description: bacterial SSU rRNA
Rfam family: Bacterial small subunit ribosomal RNA
Source: RNAcentral
UGGGGAAUAUUGGACAAUGGGCGCAAGCCUGAUCCAGCGACGCCGCGUGUGUGAAGAAGGCCUGCGGGUUGUAAAGCACUUUCGAUGGGAACGAAAUGUGCCGGGUUAAUACCCCGGUAAGCUGACGUUACUCAAUGAAGAAGCACCGGCUAACUCUGUGCCAGCAGCCGCGGUAAUACAGAGGGUGCGAGCGUUAAUCGGAAUUACUGGGCGUAAAGCGCACGUAGGUGGGCCGUUAAGUUAGGGGUGAAAUCCCGAGGCCCAACCUCGGAACUGCCUCUAAAACUGGCGGCCUGGACCUAAGUAGAGGCAAGUGGAAUUGCGAGUGUAGAGGUGAAAUUCGUAGAUAUUCGCAGGAACACCAGUGGCGAAGGCGACUUGCUGGACUUAUGGUGACGCUGAGAUGCGAAAGCGUGGGGAGCAAACAGGAUUAGAUACCCAGGUAGUCCCUGAGCGGGCUGGCAAGGCGCAU